This 309-nucleotide ribosomal RNA is filed under the name uncultured bacterium. RNAcentral describes it as "partial 16S ribosomal RNA". It matches the Rfam family "Bacterial small subunit ribosomal RNA", at positions 504 to 808 of the family's 1533-position model. The record is from RNAcentral.
AGAGACAGCAGCCGCCGCGGGAAUACGUAGGUCCCGAGCGUUGUCCGGAUUUAUUGGGCGUAAAGCGAGCGCAGGCGGUUAGGUAAGUCUGAAGUUAAAGGCUGUGGCUUAACCAUAGUACGCUUUGGAAACUGUUUAACUUGAGUGCAAGAGGGGAGAGUGGAAUUCCAUGUGUAGCGGUGAAAUGCGUAGAUAUAUGGAGGAACACCGGUGGCGAAAGCGGCUCUCUGGCUUGUAACUGACGCUGAGGCUCGAAAGCGUGGGGAGCAAACAGGAUUAGAUACCCGAGUAGUCCCUGUCUCUUAUACA